GAGACGUCCAACUUCAAGUCCACAAGUGUUUUCAAGAGUGAGGCACCAGUCAGUGACAAAGAGGUCUGGCGGAGAGAGAUAUGAGGGACGAGUGAGGGCAAACGGUCGGUUGCAUUGGCAAUGCUGUCCGCUACAGUGGAGGAGUGGGAGUGAGUACCGGCCGCCCGCGACAGCCAGAGACGCUCCACUACUAACGGUGUCCAGAUCCGACGAGAAGCCCCUGGCUGCAGCCUGUUGAGCUCCGCCCACCUCAAACUCUUCAGUGACUCAACGUUGAGCUUAGCCCAUCUUCAAUACCAAUAUGUGCCCAUGAAUCUCUCGCUAGCAUCACGAACGCCUAAACAAAACUUGGAAUGGAAGUUACCACAUCGCUCUGAUGCAACGGUUUUAAGUGGUGAUAUUAUGUACUGUAAACUUCACGACAGCUGAUCCCAAUUGUCAAGAAAAUGUACAGAAAAGACCUUCAAUGCAACAGGAAAAAUUACGGAUAAUCCUCAAGAUUUGGAAUUCCGCAGGAGAGGAGCUCCGGCGAGCAAGGCACCGCUGUCGUGGGCAGUACAACUGCAGGGGACCCAACACACUGUGGCCUAUGGACUCACGUGAUAAACUAAAGCCUCAUGGCAUUGCAAUUAAUGGUUGCGUUGACGGAUUUAGUCGGCGCAUAAUGUGGA
Molecule: long non-coding RNA, 671 nt
Organism: Synchiropus splendidus (mandarinfish)
Lineage: Eukaryota; Metazoa; Chordata; Actinopteri; Syngnathiformes; Callionymidae
Exons: 3
Source: RefSeq, a predicted model, not a curated record